RNAcentral lists this long non-coding RNA (1000 nucleotides) under Cyanistes caeruleus (blue tit). RNAcentral describes it as "lncRNA (ENSCCEG00000002550.1)". Lineage: Eukaryota; Metazoa; Chordata; Aves; Passeriformes; Paridae. The record is from RNAcentral.
AUCUCAAAGCCCAAUAUGGGUUCGCUAUAAGGAUCCAAAAACAGGUCUGUGGGGAGGUCCCAGCAAAGUACUCUAUUGGGGACGUGGUUAUCUUUAUGUGUCUACCCCCACAGGGCCUGUCUGGGUGCCGAGCCGAUGGACUAAACCUGCUGAUCCCAGUGAUUCACCUUCAGCUGAUCCAGAAAAUUUAGCAGAUACUUCUCGCUCUCUACCAUCAACAUAGAGACGGGAUCUGAUGAACUCUCACAUGAAAAUUUUGUGUACAGUACCGAAUUGUGAAUGCUAUCCUUUUGUAUGUUACAUUUGUAAAGUGUGUAAAGAAAAGUGGUGGAUACAUUCUAAGUGGGGUCGAUCUCCAAGAGGGAUUUGUACAGAGUGUUAUAACUUUGAAAGAAAUUUAACUGAGAUUGCAUUACAGGAAGGUGUGCAAACAGGACAAUUUGAAAAAGGAUCUGAUAGAUGGUGGGAGAUUUUUGCUUUUGGCAUAAAUCCAGAAAAUUAUUGUUAUCAUCCUAAUACCCCUUUACCAUAUAUUAUUGAAAUAACCACAAUACGUUGUCGCAAGACACUGACACAGGUGAGGUGUGAUAUUCCAGGGGUAAAAGAAAAGGGAAGCAAGAUCUCACAUGGGAUCCAGCCAAGAUGCUGGCUGAACUGCCGCAAUCCUUUUGAAGUCCUUAAAGGACUACCUCUGAUCAGGUUGUUGUUGUGGUUUACUAUAAUAGAGGGAAAUGAAGGAUUUUUGAUUGACAUGGAUGAAAGACAAAAUAUGUGGGUAACGUGGGCUAAUCAAACUGGACAGGAUACUUUUUGCCUUUCAAUGGCUACCCCUUCGGAUCCUUUUCAAACUUGUUUAGUGGGCGCACCUUUGGAUGAUUCAUUCAAUGCCACAAUGUUUAAAAACUGGACAAAGAAUUGGAAAACACCCAAGGAAGCAAACAAAACAUUAUGUGAAAUUCCAUCAGGUAAAUUAAUGAUCAAUAUCUGUGACACAGGUUUA